This 66-nucleotide small nucleolar RNA is filed under the name Stegodyphus mimosarum. RNAcentral's name for it is "Small nucleolar RNA SNORD61". It matches the Rfam family "Small nucleolar RNA SNORD61". Rfam says of the family: U61 belongs to the C/D class of snoRNA which contain the C (UGAUGA) and D (CUGA) box motifs. Most of the members of the box C/D family function in directing site-specific 2'-O-methylation of substrate RNAs. The record is from Rfam by way of RNAcentral. Lineage: Eukaryota; Metazoa; Arthropoda; Arachnida; Araneae; Eresidae.
GCAAUGAUGAUCUGAAAUCACAAUGAUAAAAAUGAUUUGAUAUAUCCUCUAAGAAGAUCUGAGCUG